AACAAAUAUUUUUUGAGUGACCUCCGUGGGCCGGGCUAUGGAGUAACUAUACUGUGACCUAACACACUUUGCUUCCCUGCAAAUUGUUCAAUAUACUUGCUGAAAUUCAGCUCUACUUCAUGCGUGGUACCCACAGUCUACCAAAUUAGUAACCUAAACACUAGAAUAGGAAUUGAUAUUAGUUUUCAUUUCCUGAUUUGUUUAUUCUUUCAAAAAAAUUUUUGAGUGGUUUCCAGGGGAGAGGUGCUGUGCCUGGGGCUGGAACUGCAGUGGUACACAGGACAGAAUGAGGCCUCCUUUUCAGCUUGAACUCUUGCAAGGAAUUGCAAUGCUCAGGCUGACUCCUACUCAUCACCACAUUCCUUGCUGAUCCUGCAAAAACUCCUAUUAAACAAUCUGGCUGGGCGCGGUGGCUCACUCCUGUAAUCCCAGCACUUUGGAGGCUGAGGUGGGUGGAUCGCCUGAGAUCAGGAGUUCGAGGCUAGCCUGGCCAACAUGGCAAAACCCUGUCUCUACUAAAAAUACAAAAACUAGCUGGGCGUGUGGCGUGCCUGUAAUCCCAGCUACUUGGGAGGCUGAGGCAGGAGAACUGCUUGAACCUGGGAGGCAGAGGUUGCAGGGAGCUGAGAUUGCACCACUGCACUCCAGUCUGGGUGACAGAGCGAUACUGUCUCCAAAAAAAUAAUAAUAAUACAUACUAAAAUUUGCCAGCUAUAAAGAACAAAGGGAGAGGGUCAUGACCUUGCUCUUUCCAAACUUAAAUAGCUAACGAU
Molecule: long non-coding RNA, 773 nt
Filed under: Homo sapiens (human)
Lineage: Eukaryota; Metazoa; Chordata; Mammalia; Primates; Hominidae
Description: HSALNT0394750
Source: RNAcentral